Molecule: ribosomal RNA, 253 nt
Filed under: uncultured bacterium
Lineage: Bacteria
Description: partial 16S ribosomal RNA
Rfam family: Bacterial small subunit ribosomal RNA
Source: RNAcentral
UACGUAGGGUGCAAGCGUUAAUCGGAAUUACUGGGCGUGAAGCGUGCGCAGGCGGCUUUGCAAGACAGAUGUGAAAUCCCCGGGCUUAACCUGGGAACUGCAUUUGUGACUGCAUGGCUGGAGUGCGGCAGAGGGGGAUGGAAUUCCGCGUGUAGCAGUGAAAUGCGUAGAUAUGCGGAGGAACACCGAUGGCGAAGGCAAUCCCCUGGGCCUGCACUGACGCUCAUGCACGAAAGCGUGGGGAGCAAACAGG